GUCUCCGUAGGUGACCUGCGGAGGGAUCAUUACAAGAACGCCCGGGCUUCGGCCUGGUUAUUCAUAACCCUUUGUUGUCCGACUCUGUUGCCUCCGGGGCGACCCUGCCUUCGGGCGGGGGCUCCGGGUGGACACUUCAAACUCUUGCGUAACUUUGCAGUCUGAGUAAACUUAAUUAAUAAAUUAAAACUUUUAACAACGGAUCUCUUGGUUCUGGCAUCGAUGAAGAACGCAGCGAAAUGCGAUAAGUAAUGUGAAUUGCAGAAUUCAGUGAAUCAUCGAAUCUUUGAACGCACAUUGCGCCCCCUGGUAUUCCGGGGGGCAUGCCUGUUCGAGCGUCAUUUCACCACUCAAGCCUCGCUUGGUAUUGGGCAACGCGGUCCGCCGCGUGCCUCAAAUCGUCCGGCUGGGUCUUCUGUCCCCUAAGCGUUGUGGAAACUAUUCGCUAAAGGGUGUUCGGGAGGCUACGCCGUAAAACAACCCCAUUUCUAAGGUUGACCUCGGAUCAGGUAGGGAUACCCGCUGAACUUAAGCAUAUCA
RNAcentral lists this unclassified non-coding RNA (540 nucleotides) under Cladosporium herbarum. RNAcentral's name for it is "sequence contains ITS1, 5.8S rRNA gene, ITS2". The stretch from base 188 to 341 matches the Rfam family "5.8S ribosomal RNA". Lineage: Eukaryota; Fungi; Ascomycota; Dothideomycetes; Cladosporiales; Cladosporiaceae. The record is from RNAcentral.